This 222-nucleotide ribosomal RNA is filed under the name uncultured soil bacterium. Its description in RNAcentral is "partial 16S ribosomal RNA". It matches the Rfam family "Bacterial small subunit ribosomal RNA", at positions 26 to 252 of the family's 1533-position model. The record is from RNAcentral.
AGGACGAACGCUGGCGGCGUGCUUAACACAUGCAAGUCGAGCGGUAAGGCCUUUCGGGGUACACGAGCGGCGAACGGGUGAGUAACACGUGGGUGAUCUGCCCUGCACUUCGGGAUAAGCCUGGGAAACUGGGUCUAAUACCGGAUAUGACCUCCUAUCGCAUGGUGGGUGGUGGAAAGAUUUAUCGGUGCAGGAUGGGCCCGCGGCCUAUCAGCUUGUUGG